Molecule: transfer RNA, 64 nt
Filed under: Fergusonina taylori (eucalypt gall-forming fly)
Lineage: Eukaryota; Metazoa; Arthropoda; Insecta; Diptera; Fergusoninidae
Description: tRNA-Arg
Source: RNAcentral
GAAUUUGAAGCAAUAAUAAUAGCAAUUAGUUUCGACCUAAUUAUAGGUAAAUUACCCUUAUUCU